AAUCACAUGCGGGAAAGUGCAAACGCGUGAUUUUAUUUGCUUUUGGGAAAUUUCUCAGAUCUAAGACAAACGGAGAAGGAAUUGAACCCAAAGAAAGGUCUUUUUAGCCAUAAUACAAAUUGCAAUAAAGACACUGUGAGGGUGCCUCUCAUGCUAUGUGAUGGGCAAGUGCCUCUCAGUCAUUUUCCUUUGGCUUGACCUGAAACUAAGAGAGUUUGAGUGAGAGAGGGAGAAGGGGAAGUUUCGGGGCAGCUCGCCCAUUUGGCCGGAUCUUUAAAGAGUCUCGAUCUUACCUAACAUUAG
Molecule: long non-coding RNA, 303 nt
Filed under: Eucalyptus grandis
Lineage: Eukaryota; Viridiplantae; Streptophyta; Magnoliopsida; Myrtales; Myrtaceae
Description: long non-coding RNA (EGRA_LNC006856)
Source: RNAcentral